RNAcentral lists this long non-coding RNA (1011 nucleotides) under Monodelphis domestica (gray short-tailed opossum). RNAcentral describes it as "lncRNA (ENSMODG00000044005.1)". Lineage: Eukaryota; Metazoa; Chordata; Mammalia; Didelphimorphia; Didelphidae. The record is from RNAcentral.
AUGCUCGUGCCGCGGCUACCCCCGAAGGGUCGGGGUGGGGCGGGGGCGGGCUUCACGAUUGGUAGGGAGCUCAGCGAGCGGCCAAUGGCCGGCGAGGGCGUGCAUAUGGGGGCGGGGCGCCGGCACUAUAGGGCGGCUGUGACGUCGCCUCAGCCGCUCUGUCGUCGCCACCACAGGUGCCGCGUGUCAUUGCCGUCUCCUCGUCAGUGUCCGUAUCCGCCGCUGCCAGGCAGGUACAGAAGCCAUGCCUCAGUUUCCCCUUCUGUCUUGGGCAGCUUGUCCGAGGGGGAGGGGCUCUUGACCCGGAGGCCUCGGGGGUGCGGACGGAGGUGGUGCGGCCUGACCAGGCGGGGAGUUCCCCUCCCCCCAUCCCGAAGGCAAAGUGCGGGCGGGAGUGUGGAGGGAGGAGGCGACGGGGGUGGAGUGGGAGGAAGGACGCGGAGGAGCGCGCUUAGGCUUCGGGGCACCGACUGCUUUGGCUUCUCCAGUCCGAGUCCUCGCCUCUCCGGAGCCCCCGGGGCCCUCACUGUAGUCUUCGCUAGGGCUCCGCCGCGGAGCGGGCCAGGGAGAAGCCCCAAGGCCUUCCCAUCCCCCCCAGCUGCUCGUCUGUCCAGGAUAGCAUGGCCUGAGGCCGCCUCCCCCGCUGCCCCAGCACCCAGGGUUCUUCUGAGCUCUCCGCGGAGUCCUGACGGCUCCAGGGCAUCCCUGGGCUCCGGCGGGCCUCGCUUGUGGGGGGUGGGGCGCGGCCAGGCGCGCACACGAUCGGGCGCGCACACAGUCACUCUUCCUCCCCCUCCCCCCCCCCCCUCCCGCGGCCCAGAAAGGAAGGAGCAUGGAGGCCCCGCGGGCAGAACCAGUCCACCCCGGGCUCCCACGCAGCCACCCCGACCCCCCUUUAGAUUUCAGAAAGAGCGCCAGGCCUGCGGAUGGGGGUCCUGGGUUCCAAGAUGGCCAGACGCUGUCAGCGGGGUGACCCUGGGCAAGUCACUGAGCCUCACUGCCCUAGAGUGA